RNAcentral lists this ribosomal RNA (253 nucleotides) under uncultured bacterium. RNAcentral's name for it is "partial 16S ribosomal RNA". It matches the Rfam family "Bacterial small subunit ribosomal RNA", at positions 524 to 776 of the family's 1533-position model. The record is from RNAcentral.
UACGGAGGGUGCGAGCAUUGUUCGGAAUAACUGGGCGUAAAGCGCACGUAGGCGGGUUCGAUAGUCGAUUGUGAAAGCCCAGGGCUCAACCUUGGAAUUGCAGUCGAAACUUCGAAUCUUGAAUACCUGAGAGGAUGGCGGAAUUCCCGGUGUAGCAGUGAAAUGCGUAGAUAUCGGGAGGAACACCUGAGGCGAAGGCGGCUAUCUGGCAGUGUAUUGACGCUGAGGUGCGAAAGCGUGGGGAGCAAACAGG